UGGGUGAGAAUACACCAAGACGGAUACCCUAGGUUUCCUGGGGAAGGUGCGUCCGCCCUGGGUUAGUCGGGGCCUAAGCUGAGGCCGAAAGGCGUAGGUGAUGGACAACAGGUUGAUAUUCCUGUACUACCGAUAACCGUUUGAGAGAUGGGAUGACACAGUAGGAUAAGCUAAGCACACUGUUGGUUAUGUGUGCACAAGCAUUGAGGCAGUCAAAGUAGGCAAAUCCGCUUUGAUAAUGCUGUGAUGUGAUGGGGAGCGAAAUUUAGUAGCGAAGUAGCUGCUUUCACACUGUCAAGAAAAGUCUCUAUCGCGGUUACAGGUACCCGUACCGCAAACCGACACUGGUGGGUGCGCAGAGUCACCUAAGGCAAGCGAGAGAACUGAUGUUAAGGAACUCGGCAACAUGACCCCGUCACGUAGGACAAAGGGGUGCCACCACG
RNAcentral lists this ribosomal RNA (443 nucleotides) under Clostridioides difficile. RNAcentral describes it as "bacterial LSU rRNA". It matches the Rfam family "Bacterial large subunit ribosomal RNA", at positions 1316 to 1758 of the family's 2925-position model. The record is from RNAcentral. Lineage: Bacteria; Bacillati; Bacillota; Clostridia; Peptostreptococcales; Peptostreptococcaceae.